Molecule: ribosomal RNA, 497 nt
Filed under: uncultured bacterium
Lineage: Bacteria
Description: partial 16S ribosomal RNA
Rfam family: Bacterial small subunit ribosomal RNA
Source: RNAcentral
GAUGAACGCUGGCGGCGUGCCUAAUACAUGCAAGUCGAGCGAACAGACGAGGAGCUUGCUCCUCUGACGUUAGCGGCGGACGGGUGAGUAACACGUGGAUAACCUACCUAUAAGACUGGGAUAACUUCGGGAAACCGGAGCUAAUACCGGAUAAUAUAUUGAACCGCAUGGUUCAAUAGUGAAAGACGGUUUUGCUGUCACUUAUAGAUGGAUCCGCGCCGCAUUAGCUAGUUGGUAAGGUAACGGCUUACCAAGGCAACGAUGCGUAGCCGACCUGAGAGGGGGGGCGGCACCAGGGGCACAGAGACAGGCACAAGACCCCGGGGGAGGGAACAAGGAGGAAAUCUGCCGCAAGGGGCAAAGCCCGGACGGAGCAGCGCGGGGGGAGUAAUAAAGUUCUUGGGAUCGAAAAACUGUGUUAGGGGGAAAAAAAAAAUGUGUAAGAAACUAUGCGGUUCUGGAGGGGCAAUAAUAAGAAGGCCAGGGCAAACUCGGGC